ACGAGCGGCGAACGGGUGAGUAACACGUGGGUGAUCUGCCCUGUACUUCGGGAUAAGCCUGGGAAACUGGGUCUAAUACCGGAUAUGACCUUACAUCGCAUGGUGUUUGGUGGAAAGAUUUAUCGGUACAGGAUGGGCCCGCGGCCUAUCAGCUUGUUGGUGGGGUAAUGGCCUACCAAGGCGACGACGGGUAGCCGGCCUGAGAGGGCGACCGGCCACACUGGGACUGAGACACGGCCCAGACUCCUACGGGAGGCAGCAGUGGGGAAUAUUGCACAAUGGGCGAAAGCCUGAUGCAGCGACGCCGCGUGAGGGAUGACGGCCUUCGGGUUGUAAACCUCUUUCGACAGGGACGAAGCGCAAGUGACGGUACCUGUAGAAGAAGCACCGGCCAACUACGUGCCAGCAGCCGCGGUAAUACGUAGGGUGCGAGCGUUGUCCGGAAUUACUGGGCGUAAAGAGCUUGUAGGCGGUUUGUCGCGUCGUCCGUGAAAACUUGGGGCUCAACCCCAAGC
RNAcentral lists this ribosomal RNA (515 nucleotides) under uncultured Nocardia sp. RNAcentral describes it as "bacterial SSU rRNA". It matches the Rfam family "Bacterial small subunit ribosomal RNA", at positions 91 to 620 of the family's 1533-position model. The record is from RNAcentral. Lineage: Bacteria; Bacillati; Actinomycetota; Actinomycetes; Mycobacteriales; Nocardiaceae.